This 458-nucleotide ribosomal RNA is filed under the name uncultured bacterium. RNAcentral describes it as "partial 16S ribosomal RNA". It matches the Rfam family "Bacterial small subunit ribosomal RNA", at positions 338 to 795 of the family's 1533-position model. The record is from RNAcentral.
CCUACGGGGGGCAGCAGUGAGGAAUAUUGGUCAAUGGGCGAGAGCCUGAACCAGCCAAGUCGCGUGAGGGAGUACUGCCCUAUGGGUUGUAAACCUCUUUUGUCGGGGAGCAAAAGCCGGACGUGUCCGGCUGUGAGAGUACCCGAAGAAAAAGCAUCGGCUAACUCCGGGCCAGCAGCCGCGGUAAUACGGAGGAUGCGAGCGUUAUCCGGAUUUAUUGGGGUUAAAGGGUGCGCAGGCGGAUUUUUAAGUCAGCGGUCAAAUCGUGGGGCUCAACCCCAUCCAGCCGUUGAAACUGGGGAUCUAGAGUGUGCGAGAGGUAUGCGGAAUGCGUGGUGUAGCGGUGAAAUGCAUAGAUAUCACGCAGAACCCCGAUUGCGAAGGCAGCAUACCAGUGCACAACUGACGCUCAGGCACGAAAGCGUGGGUAUCGAACAGGAUUAGAUACCCGUGUAGUC